UGGGGAAUCAUAGACAAUGGGCGCAAGCCUGAUCUUGCCAUGCCGCGUGAGCGAUGAAGGCCUUAGGGUUGUAAAGCUCUUUCACCGGUGACGAUAAUGACGGUAGCCGGAGAAGAAGCCCCGGCUAACUCCGUGCCAGCAGCCGCGGUAAUACGGAGGGGGCUAGCGUUGUUCGGAAUUACUGGGCGUAAAGCGCGCGUAGGCGGAUUGUUAAGUCGGGGGUGAAAUCCCAGGGCUCAACCCUGGAACGGCCCUCGAUACUGGCAGUCUGGAGGUCGAGAGAGGUGAGUGGAAUGGCGAGUGUAGAGGUGAAAUUCGUAGAUAUUCGCCGGAACACCAGUGGCGAAGGCGGCUCACUGGCUCGAUACUGACGCUGAGGUGCGAAAGCGUGGGGAGCAAACAGGAUUAGAUACCCCCGUAGUCC
RNAcentral lists this ribosomal RNA (424 nucleotides) under uncultured prokaryote. Its description in RNAcentral is "bacterial SSU rRNA". It matches the Rfam family "Bacterial small subunit ribosomal RNA", at positions 355 to 796 of the family's 1533-position model. The record is from RNAcentral.